RNAcentral lists this small nuclear RNA (156 nucleotides) under Mus caroli (Ryukyu mouse). RNAcentral's name for it is "predicted gene, 24036 (MGP_CAROLIEiJ_G0034797.1)". It matches the Rfam family "U1 spliceosomal RNA". Rfam says of the family: U1 is a small nuclear RNA (snRNA) component of the spliceosome (involved in pre-mRNA splicing). Lineage: Eukaryota; Metazoa; Chordata; Mammalia; Rodentia; Muridae. The record is from RNAcentral.
AUACUUACCUGGCAGGGGAGAUCUCACGACCAUGAGGGUGAUUUUCCCAAGGCGAGGCUCAUCCAUUGCACUGUAGGUAUGUUAACCUGUGACUCCUCCAAAGGCAGAAAAGUCAGCUGCAUAAUUUGUGGUAGCAACGAGUAUUGGUGUUCUUUU